Molecule: unclassified non-coding RNA, 310 nt
Filed under: plant metagenome
Description: partial contains 5.8S ribosomal RNA, internal transcribed spacer 2, and large subunit ribosomal RNA
Rfam family: 5.8S ribosomal RNA (bases 1-105)
Source: RNAcentral
GAAAUGCGAUAAGUAGUGUGAAUUGCAGAAUUCAGUGAAUCAUCGAAUCUUUGAACGCACAUUGCGCCCCUCGGUAUUCCGUGGGGCAUGCCUGUUCGAGCGUCAUCUACACCCUCAAGCUCUGCUUGGUGUUGGGUGUUUGUCCCCGUCUCCGCGCGUGGACUCGCCCCAAAGUGAUUGGCAGCCGGCGUACUGGUCCCGGAGCGCAGCACAUGUCGCGCAAACGAGUGCCUUGGUACGGCGGCGUCCAUAAGCCCCUCUCUCACGCUCUUGACCUCGGAUCAGGUAGGGAUACCCGCUGAACUUAAGC